Molecule: ribosomal RNA, 249 nt
Filed under: uncultured cyanobacterium
Lineage: Bacteria; Bacillati; Cyanobacteriota
Description: partial 16S ribosomal RNA
Rfam family: Bacterial small subunit ribosomal RNA
Source: RNAcentral
UAGGGAAUUUUGCGCAAUGGGGGAAACCCUGACGCAGCAAUACCGCGUGAACGACGAAGCUCUUCGGAGUGUAAAGUUCUGUCAGUGGGGACGAAUUUUGAUGGUACCCACAAAGGAAGCAUCGGCUAACUACGUGCCAGCAGCCGCGGUAAGACGUAGGAUGCAAGCGUUGUCCGGAAUCAUUGGGCGUAAAGCGUUCGUAGGCGGUAUACCAAGUCUGAUGUUAAAGCCCGGAGCUCAACUCCGGUU